This 69-nucleotide transfer RNA is filed under the name Potamopyrgus antipodarum. RNAcentral describes it as "tRNA-Arg". Lineage: Eukaryota; Metazoa; Mollusca; Gastropoda; Littorinimorpha; Tateidae. The record is from RNAcentral.
AAUUUGCAUACGGUUUCGGCCCGUAAGUUAGAGGUGAAAUUCCUUUUUUAUACUCAAGUUUAAACGGAG